UCGAGCGAUGGAUUGAGAGCUUGCUCUCAAGAAGUUAGCGGCGGACGGGUGAGUAACACGUGGGUAACCUGCCCAUAAGACUGGGAUAACUCCGGGAAACCGGGGCUAAUACCGGAUAAUAUUUUGAACUGCAUGGUUCGAAAUUGAAAGGCGGCUUCGGCUGUCACUUAUGGAUGGACCCGCGUCGCAUUAGCUAGUUGGUGAGGUAACGGCUCACCAAGGCAACGAUGCGUAGCCGACCUGAGAGGGUGAUCGGCCACACUGGGACUGAGACACGGCCCAGACUCCUACGGGAGGCAGCAGUAGGGAAUCUUCCGCAAUGGACGAAAGUCUGACGGAGCAACGCCGCGUGAGUGAUGAAGGCUUUCGGGUCGUAAAACUCUGUUGUUAGGGAAGAACAAGUGCUAGUUGAAUAAGCUGGCACCUUGACGGUACCUAACCAGAAAGCCACGGCUAACUACGUGCCAGCAGCCGCGGUAAUACGUAGGUGGCAAGCGUUAUCCGGAAUUAUUGGGCGUAAAGCGCGCGCAGGUGGUUUCUUAAGUCUGAUGUGAAAGCCCACGGCUCAACCGUGGAGGGUCAUUGGAAACUGGGAGACUUGAGUGCAGAAGAGGAAAGUGGAAUUCCAUGUGUAGCGGUGAAAUGCGUAGAGAUAUGGAGGAACACCAGUGGCGAAGGCGACUUUCUGGUCUGUAACUGACACUGAGGCGCGAAAGCGUGGGG
Molecule: ribosomal RNA, 723 nt
Filed under: Bacillus thuringiensis
Lineage: Bacteria; Bacillati; Bacillota; Bacilli; Caryophanales; Bacillaceae
Description: bacterial SSU rRNA
Rfam family: Bacterial small subunit ribosomal RNA
Source: RNAcentral